AGUUUCAAAGCGCUGAUACUUCAAGAAGGAGACUUUUGCAUAAUGUCUUCACUUUUUUGGUUCGAUUUUUGCACACAACGAUGAAGAUUACAAUCACGACAAAAAUGGUGGCUUUCCGGUGUUUGAUAGCACGGCCGAGUACGACACAAAUGAUCAAUUGUACGCUGUUGUCGAUCAAAUAAAAAGGCGCCAUGGGUCAACCGUUUCACGGAUCCAAUUAUGGAAGUCGAAAGUGGAACCGACAAUGAUUCUGCGUGAUCAUCUGCAACCGCUGUCCAACAUUUUCGGCGGCGAGGAGCAAGGCAGUGAGUCUUCCGCGUACCACUGCAUUUACUACGAUUUCAGCCCUCGAGAAAGCAAUUGCACCAUUCUCAAUGUAAAUUAGCACUGGCCUCUGUGAAUUGUAUUUUUUCCACUCAUCUUACUAUUUGUCGAUAUCUACUGAUCGAUGGGGAUGCGUUGCUUCUGUGCAACUUGUCUCUCGUGGUGCAUGUAGUUAUUGCCUUUCCCUUGCUUAGCGUACAUGACCCUUCUCGUAAGGUAAACUAAGACGAGGGCUCGAAAGAAAAAGGCUGGCGCUCUCAAUCCACAGGGCCUUUGUGGAAACGAUAUUUUGUCCAUUAGUGCCUCCCGCCUUUAUCGCUGGAUGUGCAGAAAUGGUAACCGCUGUUUAGCCUUGCAACUUGCCAAAAUUACUCUGCUUUUUCUCUCUUUGUUAUGACCCUUAGCAUGACUCCACCUGUCUCUCUUUACCCUCGUAUUCGCUUGGUCCUGCAAAAAAG
Molecule: unclassified non-coding RNA, 782 nt
Filed under: Leishmania donovani
Lineage: Eukaryota; Euglenozoa; Kinetoplastea; Trypanosomatida; Trypanosomatidae
Description: gene:LdHU3.32.0630(CDS-product:hypothetical_prote in_conserved)
Source: RNAcentral